GCUGAAGCUCGGCUGGGAUGCCUGAUGGAGCAGAAUGGCUCUUUACAUCGUCGUUCUAGGAGAGGCUCGGAUGUUCCGAGGUCACUGACGAAUCUAUUGUUGUCGGACGCUUCGGGUGUUGACGUUUCAGACGGGAGUCACCUGCUGUAGGAGCUCGGACAGAGAUUUUUGUUGACGAAGUCCGGAGAAGUCUGUCUGGAAUUUAUCUGAUGUGGAAGCUCAUCUGAAGAUCGUCCGUCGGGGAAGUCCGGUUUUAUGGGGAGCCUGGUAGGAGGUCGGUUGGCGAUGGACUUCGGAUAGCGCUGGGGAGGCUCGGCAGACAUCGGAGGCGAUCGGCUAUCGCAGGGACCCAGUUGCUGGAGCUCGUCCGGAAUCCAUCCGCUGGAGAAGUUCGGACAGACUUCGGUUCUCGCGAGAGGUCGAAAAGGGGCCGCUUAUUGUAGGAGCUCGGGCGAGGACCAGUUGUCGUGGAAGCUCGGAGUAGUGUCCCGCUGUAGAAGCUCGUCCAGGGCCCACUCGCUACGGGGUAGCUCGAUUGAAGUCUACCUGUAGUAGAAAUUCGGAAGAAAUUUGUUUAUAGUAGAGGCUUGAGUCGGAAUUUGCUUACAGUCGACGUCUGGGAUAGACAGUCCGCUGUAGGAGUUUGGAGUAGACCGUUCGUAGUAGAAGUUCGGCUCUCGCAGGAGCUCGAUCGGGAUUCGGAAGGCGGUCGACCGUCGUAGAAACUUGGAAGGAGUCUGGUUACUGUAGAAAUCUCGUUGUCGGGGAAGCUCGGAUGCUGACGAAGCCCGAAAGAAGUUCGGAGUAGGGUCGUCUGUGGCCGAAAGAAGUCCAGGAGAGACUCGGGGAAUGGUUGGCUGCUGUAGGAGGUCGACUGUCAGUGAGGCCCAGAGGGCUUUUGGGGCGGCCCGAUGGGUGAACGCAGAAGUCCAGACGGUCGAGGG
RNAcentral lists this long non-coding RNA (944 nucleotides) under Elaeis guineensis (African oil palm). RNAcentral describes it as "long non-coding RNA (EGUI_LNC081882)". Lineage: Eukaryota; Viridiplantae; Streptophyta; Magnoliopsida; Arecales; Arecaceae. The record is from RNAcentral.